This 440-nucleotide ribosomal RNA is filed under the name uncultured bacterium. RNAcentral's name for it is "partial 16S ribosomal RNA". It matches the Rfam family "Bacterial small subunit ribosomal RNA", at positions 338 to 795 of the family's 1533-position model. The record is from RNAcentral.
CCUACGGGUGGCAGCAGUAGGGAAUAUUGCUCAAUGGGGGAAACCCUGAUGCAGCAACGCCGCGUGGAGGAUGAAGGAUUUCGGAUUGUAAACUCCUUUUGUCAGAGAAGAUAAUGACGGUAUCUAACGAAUAAGCACCGGCUAACUACGUGCCAGCAGCCGCGGUAAUACGGAGGGUGCAAGCGUUACUCGGAUUCACUGGGCGUAAAGGGCGCGUAGGCGGGAUAGCAAGUCAGAUGUGAAAUGCCAUGGCUUAACCAUAGAACUGCAUUUGAAACUGGUAUUCUAGAGUAUGGGAGGGGCAAGUGGAAUUCUUGGUGUAGCGGUAAAAUCCGUAGAUAUUAAGAGGAAUACUCAUUGCGAAGGCGACCUGCUAGAACAUAACUGACGCUGAUGCGCGAAAGCGUGGGGAGCAAACAGGAUUAGAUACCCCUGUAGUC